This 258-nucleotide ribosomal RNA is filed under the name uncultured archaeon. RNAcentral's name for it is "partial 16S ribosomal RNA". It matches the Rfam family "Archaeal small subunit ribosomal RNA", at positions 727 to 982 of the family's 1478-position model. The record is from RNAcentral.
CAUUAGAUACCCCGGUAGUCCUAGCCGUAAACGAUACUCGCUAGGUGUCGGCCACGGUGCGACCGUUGUCGGUGCCGUAGGGAAGCCGUGAAGCGAGCCACCUGGGAAGUAUGGGCCGCAAAGGCUGAAACUUAAAGGAAUUGGCGGGGGAGCACAACAACGGGUGGAGCUUGCGGUUUAAUUGGAUUCAACGCCGGAAAUCUUACCGGGACCGACAGCAACAUGAAGGCCAAGCUGAAGACUUUGCCGGAUUAGCUG